This is a long non-coding RNA of Arabidopsis thaliana (thale cress), 328 nucleotides long. RefSeq annotates it as other RNA. Lineage: Eukaryota; Viridiplantae; Streptophyta; Magnoliopsida; Brassicales; Brassicaceae. The transcript has a single exon. The record is from RefSeq.
CAUUCAAAGAGAUUCCCGUUACAUUGCUUAACGCCGUCAUUAACGGCCUCUUUCUAUCAACUGUAUUAAAAAGAAAAGAAUAUAUUCAUUUGUAUCCUUCAGGAAACUCAAACUGACAGCACGUGAUGGAUCCACGUGUUAAUGGGUCCCACAAUAUAGCUUUCAAUAACUAUACGCGGUUGGAACUUUUGUGGUCUCUACUAAAAUUCAUGAGAUUUGAACACGUGUCCUAUUAUUAUUAGAUCUAAAACGGUAGGGACCGAGUCUGCUUCCUUCAUCUUGACGGCCGUUUUUACGGAUCCGUUUUUUUUAAUUUCAUCUCUAUCCA